GCAGACACAUUCCAGCCAAUCAGCAGCAGACCCUCCCUCCCAGACCCUCCCACCUCCUGGACAGCAUCCAUUUUAUAUUCAUUGUGAAGCUGCAUUCUUAGUGAGCUGUCCAGGAGGUGGGAGAGUCUGGGAGGGAGGGUCUGCUGCUGAUUGGCUGGAAUGUGUCUG
Molecule: non-coding RNA, 168 nt
Organism: Pelobates cultripes (western spadefoot toad)
Lineage: Eukaryota; Metazoa; Chordata; Amphibia; Anura; Pelobatidae
Source: the annotation of a GenBank genome assembly